RNAcentral lists this long non-coding RNA (1382 nucleotides) under Numida meleagris (helmeted guineafowl). RNAcentral's name for it is "lncRNA (ENSNMEG00000005619.1)". Lineage: Eukaryota; Metazoa; Chordata; Aves; Galliformes; Numididae. The record is from RNAcentral.
UUUUUUUUAAAUAAAAAGAGAAUUUUGAAGAGCAUUAAUGAUUAUUAUAUUUAUUUUCUUACAGGAAGCUUGAAAGGAUGAUAAAGAGUAAGUAUUAGUGAGGAGGCUAUGGUCUUAUUUUCAAAUAGGACCUUCACACACAGGAUGCAAAGUUAACAGCAUCUGCUGUUCACCACAGACAGUAAUGACAAACAGAUGUCAAUUUCUUUGAAUAGCCACCAGCUCUGUGUUUGAUUCUGUAACUGCUAAUGAGAUAUUUUAUUUCCUUUGUUCAUAAUUCCUGCAUAGAGAUGUAAAAGGAAAACAAUAGCUUUAAUUAUCUUCUUACAGUGGGUUGGAGAUACUAAUUUUACUAGUCACUGCAUCCUGCAACACUCAUAGAUUGCACGACAGGGCUCCUACUUUUGUUACAUCUGGGCUUAAGGCAGUUUUAGCUGCAGCUGGACAUUCUGACUAUAGAGUUCGAUUGCUCACCAUCUCUGAUGCUAGGUAAAUGCACUCUGGAGCUGGAACUUUAUAAGGGGCAUGUAUAUCCAAAUUAACCUUACAGGAAGAUGUUUAUUUUGCAGUAAGAGCAGAUCUGAUUUCAUCCCCAGGUCUGCCCUUGUUUAGUUUAACAGCACCCAAUUUCAAGUCUCUGUAAGCAAGCAUAGGAACAUACAGUUUACAGCAGGAGCAUUUGAGCUUGUUCAUUUCUGAAAUUGUUUGUACUCAGGACCUUCCUCAUAAUCAUUUCACACUGAGUCUUGUUAUGACAUUUAAGCUGUAAGUAUUUCAUCAACAGAGAAUGGAACCUUUUCUCCUUCCAGAGUUGGUGUGUCUCAGAGAUAGCUCUGUCUCUGGUCCUCGCUUCUCUCUCCACUUUGGAGGACAUCAAGCAAACUUUUUUUGACAGUAGGACACCUGAGAGACUGUUUCUGUUUGCCAGUCUGGUCUGUUGCAUGCCUCACCUGGAAGGCCCAGCCCAUUCCAAAUAUAUAUUUAAAGCUGAACAAAGUGGUGAUUUUCUGUCUACCUUGAUGAACCAGUUCAGCAUUAAAAGCCUGAUUCCUCCAAAGACCAAGCGAUACCUACAUCUAGAACAGGCAAAGCUGUGCAGAAAGAAAACAGACUGGCCAAUUGCAGAACUUCAUUGUGUGUGCCCAGUCUCCAGAGAAAAUGCACAGGAAGACUUCAGUUCUUCAGCAAGUCAUCCAAAAGACUCAGCAUGGCCACCAGGAAGCUGCCAAAUGCCUGAAGUGUGGGGAAUGUGGAUGACAACGUGCUCCUGGAGCAUUUUGAACAAGCAUCUAGGAUUGCAGAAGAGGAAGAAUAUCCCCAUUUUUCCUUCAAAUGACUACCUGUUUUUACCACCAUCACCAAGUUUGCAUAAUAUUUUCUGA